UAAAACAGAGAGUUCGAUCCUGGCUCAGGAUGAACGCUGGCGGCGUGCUUAACACAUGCAAGUCGAACGAGAGCUACAGGAGGAAGUUUUCGGAUGGAAUCCGGUAGAUCGAGUGGCGGACGGGUGAGUAACGCGUGGGGAACCUGCCUCAUACAGGGGGAUAACAGUUGGAAACGACUGUUAAUACCGCAUAAGACCACAGAGUCGCAUGACUCAGGGGUAAAAACUCCGGUGGUAUGAGAUGGACCCGCGUUCGAUUAGCCAGUUGGCGGGGUAACGGCCCACCAAAGCGACGAUCGAUAGCCGAUUUGAGAGAAUGACCGGCCACAUUGGGACUGAGACACGGCCCAAACUCCUACGGGAGGCAGCAGUGGGGAAUAUUGCACAAUGGGGGGAACCCUGAUGCAGCGACGCCGCGUGAGUGAAGAAGUAUUUCGGUAUGUAAAGCUCUAUCAGCAGGGAAGAAGAUGACGGUACCUGAGUAAGAAGCCCCGGCUAACUACGUGCCAGCAGCCGCGGUAAUACGUAGGGGGCAAGCGUUAUCCGGAUUUACUGGGUGUAAAGGGAGCGCAGACGGCUAUGCAAGUCUGAAGUGAAAGCCCGGGGCUCAACCCCGGGA
Molecule: ribosomal RNA, 619 nt
Filed under: Fusobacterium naviforme
Lineage: Bacteria; Fusobacteriati; Fusobacteriota; Fusobacteriia; Fusobacteriales; Fusobacteriaceae
Description: bacterial SSU rRNA
Rfam family: Bacterial small subunit ribosomal RNA
Source: RNAcentral